This 1117-nucleotide long non-coding RNA is filed under the name Capsicum annuum. RNAcentral's name for it is "long non-coding RNA (CANN_LNC016643)". The record is from RNAcentral. Lineage: Eukaryota; Viridiplantae; Streptophyta; Magnoliopsida; Solanales; Solanaceae.
CGAAAAAUCAAAUUACUCAUUAAUUCCUGUUUCGUGACACACGUGAGGUAAAAAAAGAGGCAUCUGCCUUACAACAAUAAUGUGCAACAUUUAAUAGGUCGCUCAAACAAAUGACAAAGUCGAUCGCACAUAUUCAGGAAAAUUCAUGGCCUAACUCAUAUAAAAAAGAAAAUAAUUUGCAAUUCCUUCCUUUUUCGCUCAUUUGUCGUGAAAGAGGAUACAUCCACCUCUGAAGCAACCUUCAUCAUUUAAUAGGCCGUCACGAGCAUAGCCAUGAGUUUUCAAGAAAAAAUCAUUCUGACGCAUCUAUCUCCACAAUUGCAUUGGCUAACACACACAAAAAAAAAAAACUGAAAUAAUCUUCAAUUCCUGCUUUUUUGCUCGUUUGUCCUAAAAUAUGCUACGUUCACCUCUCUGAAUUAGCCUUUAUCAUUUAAUAGAUCAUCACAAAUACAUCCAUGAUUUUUUGAUAAAAAAUCAUUCUAACGCACCUAUCCUCUUAAAUUCAUAAGCUAACAUACACGAAAAAAUUUCAUAACAAGCAAUGGAGUUGGAUUGUUUGGUGUGAAAUGAAAGGUGAAAGAGCAAUAAUGGAGAAGUGGGGUCGAAAUGGCAGCUGGCCAACUACUAUUUGAGGCAAUUUUUUCCUAAACUUUCUCUGUAAAAAUUCUUGAUCCGUCACUAGUGAAAGUCGGAGAAAAUUGAUUUCAUUUUUUCUUCUCUUUUAUUAUUUAUUUCUAUAUUUUUUUUGAAUGAUUUGUUGUGAUUUCUCUACAUCUAUACGGAGUCAAACUCUCGUUUUAGUCUUCAGUUAACAUUCCAAAACACUAUUUUUUCUUCUUUAUUUUCAAUUCAUUUUUCUAUUUUGAGAAGAAUUAUCAGUAAAUUGCAUUUAUAAUAUGACAAUAAAAAAGGACAGUCUCCGUGCACUAAACCUUGUUCUAUGUAGAGUUUGGGAAAAAAUCUUGUGCGCAACCUUACCUUGCAUUUAUACCAAGGAACUAUUUCCAAAGCUUAAACAUGUUACAGCAAUUUAUCGGUUGAUAAUAUGACAAUGAGAGGUGAAAAAGCAGGAAUAGUAGUAGCGGUGUCAAAAUGACAGCUUUAUUAAAGUGGG